Homo sapiens (human) is the source of this 1182-nucleotide long non-coding RNA. RefSeq lists it as uncharacterized. Lineage: Eukaryota; Metazoa; Chordata; Mammalia; Primates; Hominidae. The transcript is spliced from 2 exons. The record is from RefSeq and is a predicted model, not a curated record.
UCCAUCGGGGUAGCCCCGACCCGGAGGGUGAGCUCAGCCUGCUGGCGUCACGCCCACUUCCUGGCGGGAACAAGAUGACGUCCCACGGGGCGUGCGGCCCUGAUGCUUCCAUGAAGGGGAGGGAAUGACUACGACAGGCGCUCGGCAGACCCCUACCCUGCCAUCAUCCCCGGGGGCCUCUCUUCCCAUCACCCCGGGAAGGAUGAGCUGCCCCCAGGCGCUCGGCGGACCCCCUACCCUGUCGUCACCCCCGGGGGCCUCUCUUCCCAUCGCCCCAGGAAGGAUGAGCUGCCCCCACGGCUCCCCCAGCUCUUGGUGAGUGGGAAGGCCCCUCCCCCUGAGCCCUGCAACGCUCCCAGUCUCAGCCCCAUCUGUGUCUCUGCUUCCUUGCAGGAUCAGCUGUGGGGGUGGGGAGGCAGCCUCUCCCACCCUGUACUAGCCCAGGAGGCAGGGACACAUCCAGCCCUCUCGUGGGUAGGCCGUAGGGCUCAGUGGGAACCCACACCUGUCCCAGGAACACUGCAAUGCCAGUCGGUGGCUUCAGAGACUAAUGGAUCCAUCCCUGCAACUCUCCUUCCCGUCAGAAUGCGGGCAAGGGCGCCACGGGCAAGGGUGCCACGGGCAAGGGCGCCACGGGCAAGGCACGGGCAGCCCAGGGUCUCCGGGAGACACGCGCCCUAGCACGGCCGAGAGAAGCCGGGCCGUGGGUCGGGCGCAACGGCCGAGUUCACACCCUGGUCCACCCAGGCAGAAGGGACGGGACGUCCAGUCUGUAACGGAGACUCUGCCAAGCCCCACCCUGCUGAGUGACCCCCAGCUUGGAGUUCAGGCCCAGGGGUCAAGGGACAGCUUUGGGCCCUCCUGGGCCUGUGACUUCCGACCACUGAGGCAGCCCCUCUGAGACCAGUUCGGAUGUCCGGACGCUGCUAAGACAAAGUGUUCAAGAGGGUCCCCACGAUGCAAGGGACCGAAGCAGGGUCCCCCUUCCUGGCCUCCAAGCAUUCCCGGGGGCCCCGCCCCGUCCGUGUGCCGGGACGGCGGCAGCUGUGUCGCAGGCGAACGCGGAGUCAGGAACCCCGGGAGUCCGGGCAGCACAUAACCCAGCCGGGCGACAACACACAGAUCCCACCCACCUUUCUCUAUAAAUAAACCUGUGGAGGAGAAGCAGCGCUCGCCCCAAAA